RNAcentral lists this ribosomal RNA (253 nucleotides) under uncultured bacterium. Its description in RNAcentral is "partial 16S ribosomal RNA". It matches the Rfam family "Bacterial small subunit ribosomal RNA", at positions 524 to 776 of the family's 1533-position model. The record is from RNAcentral.
UACGGGGGGGGCAAGCGUUGUUCGGAAUUACUGGGCGUAAAGGGCUUGUAGGUGGCCAACUAAGUCAGACGUGAAAUCCCUCAGCUUAACUGGGGAACUGCGUCUGAGACUGGAUGGCUUGAAUUCGGGAGAGGGAUGCAGAAUUCCAGGUGUAGCGGUGAAAUGCGUAGAUAUCUGGAGGAAUACCGGUGGCGAAGGCGGCAUCCUGGACCGACAUUGACGCUGAGGAGCGAAAGCUAGGGGAGCAAACGGG